RNAcentral lists this ribosomal RNA (497 nucleotides) under uncultured bacterium. Its description in RNAcentral is "partial 16S ribosomal RNA". It matches the Rfam family "Bacterial small subunit ribosomal RNA", at positions 28 to 507 of the family's 1533-position model. The record is from RNAcentral.
GAUGAACGCUGGCGGCGUGCCUAAUACAUGCAAGUCGAGCGAACGGACGAGAAGCUUGCUUCUCUGAUGUUAGCGGCGGACGGGUGAGUAACACGUGGAUAACCUACCUAUAAGACUGGGAUAACUUCGGGAAACCGUAGCUAAUACCGGAUAAUAUUUUGAACCGCAUGGUUCAAAAGUGAAAGACGGUCUUGCUGUCACUUAUAGAUGGAUCCGCGCUGCAUUAACUAGUUGGUAAGGUAACGGCUUACCAAGGCAACGAUGCAUAGCCGACCUGAGAGGGUGAUCGGCCACACUGGAACUGAGACACGGUCCAGACUCCUACGGGAGGCAGCAGUAGGGAAUCUUCCGCAAUGGGCGAAAGCCUGACGGAGCGACGCCGCGUGAGUGAUGAAGGUCUUCGGAUCGUAAAACUCUGUUAUUAGGGAAGAACAUAUGUGUAAGUAACUGUGCACAUCUUGACGGUACCUAAUCAGAAAGCCACGGCUAACUACGUG